GAUCAUGGCUCAGGAUGAACGCUAGCGACAGGCCUAACACAUGCAAGUCGAGGGGCAACAUGGUAUCAGCUUGCUGAUACCGGUGGCGACCGGCGCACGGGUGAGUAACGCGUAUGUAAUCUACCUGUAACAGAGGGAUAACCCGGAGAAAUCCGGACUAAUACCUCAUAGCACAUAUUAUUCGCAUGAAUUUUAUGUUAAAGAGACUCGGUUACAGAUGAACAUGCGUU
This 230-nucleotide ribosomal RNA is filed under the name uncultured bacterium. RNAcentral describes it as "partial 16S ribosomal RNA". It matches the Rfam family "Bacterial small subunit ribosomal RNA", at positions 15 to 237 of the family's 1533-position model. The record is from RNAcentral.